This is a non-coding RNA of Haemonchus placei, 71 nucleotides long. NCBI's taxonomy places the organism in Eukaryota, Metazoa, Nematoda, Chromadorea, Rhabditida, Trichostrongylidae. The record is from Rfam.
GCCGACGUGGCACAGUGGUAGUGGUCUCGCUUCAUAGGCGUGCGGUGCGGGUUUGCUUCUCGCUGUCGUCG